CGCCCGUCGCACCUACCGAUUGAAUGAUUCGGUGAAAAUUUCGGACUGUGGCUCGUUUGCUUUACUGUGAGCUUGCCGUGGGAAGUUAUUUAAACCUCAUUAUUUAGAGGAAGGUGAAGUCGUAACAAGGUUUCC
RNAcentral lists this ribosomal RNA (135 nucleotides) under Gonyostomum sp. RNAcentral's name for it is "partial small subunit ribosomal RNA". It matches the Rfam family "Eukaryotic small subunit ribosomal RNA", at positions 1670 to 1804 of the family's 1831-position model. Lineage: Eukaryota; Raphidophyceae; Chattonellales; Vacuolariaceae. The record is from RNAcentral.